UCGAGAAUUUUUCACAAUGGGCGCAACCCUGAUCGAGCGACGCCGCGUGGGUGAUGAAUGCCUUCGGCCCGUAAACCCCUUUCGUUCGCGACCAAAUUUCUCGGUCUAACAUUCCGAUAGCUUGAUGGUACCGGAAGAAUAAGCACCGGCUAACUAUGUGCCAGCAGCCGCGGUAAUACGUAGGUCGCAAGCGUUAUUCGGAUUUACUGGGCGUAAAGCGUGCGCAGGUGGUUGGGUAAGUCUGCUGUGAAAUCUCCGAGCUUAACUCGGAAACUGCAGCUGAUACUAUACAGCUUGAGGGUGGGAGGGGGGACUGGAAUUCUACGUGUAGCAGUGAAAUGCGUAGAUAUGGAGAGGAAUACUGGUGGCGAAGGCGGCUUGCUGGGCAGCAACUGACGCUGAGGCGCGAAAGCCAGGGGAGCAAACG
Molecule: ribosomal RNA, 427 nt
Filed under: uncultured prokaryote
Description: bacterial SSU rRNA
Rfam family: Bacterial small subunit ribosomal RNA
Source: RNAcentral